Molecule: small nuclear RNA, 164 nt
Organism: Carlito syrichta (Philippine tarsier)
Lineage: Eukaryota; Metazoa; Chordata; Mammalia; Primates; Tarsiidae
Gene: U1
Rfam family: U1 spliceosomal RNA
About the family: U1 is a small nuclear RNA (snRNA) component of the spliceosome (involved in pre-mRNA splicing). Its 5' end forms complementary base pairs with the 5' splice junction, thus defining the 5' donor site of an intron. There are significant differences in sequence and secondary structure between metazoan and yeast U1 snRNAs, the latter being much longer (568 nucleotides as compared to 164 nucleotides in human).
Source: Ensembl
AUACUUACCUGGCAGGGGAGAUAUCAUGAUCACGAGGGUGGUUUUCCCAGGGCAAGGCUCACUCAUUGCACUCCAGGUGUGCUGACCUCUGCGAUUUCCCCAAAUGCGGAAAACUCGACUGCAUUAUUUGUGGUAGUGGAGGACUGUGUUCGCGCUUUCUUCUA